GGGCCCGCACAAGCGGUGGAGCAUGUGGUUUAAUUCGACGCAACGCGAAGAACCUUACCUGGGCUCGAACGGCCGGUCAACGAUCGUGGAAACACGGUUACCUCGCAAGGGGGUCCGGUCGAGGUGCUGCAUGGCUGUCGUCAGCUCGUGUCGUGAGAUGUUGGGUUAAGUCCCGCAACGAGCGCAACCCUUGUCCUGUGUUGCCAUCAUUCAGUUGGGAACUCUCAGGAGACCGCCAGCGAUAAGUUGGAGGAAGGUGGGGACGACGUCAAGUCAUCAUGGCCUUUAUGUCCAGGGCUACACACGUGCUACAAUGGCCGGUACAAAGCGACGCCAACCCGCGAGGGGGAGCAAAUCGCAAAAAACCGGUCUCAGUCCGGAUCGCAGGCUGCAACUCGCCUGCGUGAAGCUGGAAUCGCUAGUAAUGGCAGAUCAGCAUGCUGCCGUGAAUACGUUCCCGGGCCUU
This 466-nucleotide ribosomal RNA is filed under the name uncultured bacterium. RNAcentral's name for it is "bacterial SSU rRNA". It matches the Rfam family "Bacterial small subunit ribosomal RNA", at positions 917 to 1382 of the family's 1533-position model. The record is from RNAcentral.